Molecule: ribosomal RNA, 433 nt
Filed under: uncultured bacterium
Lineage: Bacteria
Description: partial 16S ribosomal RNA
Rfam family: Bacterial small subunit ribosomal RNA
Source: RNAcentral
AACGAACGCUGGCGGCAGGCCUAACACAUGCAAGUCGAGCGAGCAUUUCGGUGCUAGCGGCGGACGGGUGAGUAACGCGUGGGAACGUGCCCUUUUCUGCGGAAUAGUCCUGGGAAACUGGGGGUAAUACCGCAUACGCCCUUUUGGGGAAAGAUUUAUCGGAGAAGGAUCGGCCCGCGUUGGAUUAGGUAGUUGGUGGGGUAAUGGCCCACCAAGCCGACGAUCCAUAGCUGGUUUGAGAGGAUGAUCAGCCACACUGGGACUGAGACACGGACCAGACUCCUACGGGAGGCAGCAGUGGGGAAUCUUAGACAAUGGGGGCAAACCUGAUCUAGCCAUGCCGCGUGAGUGAUGAAGGCCUUAGGGUUGUAAAGCUCUUUCAGCUGGGAAGAUAAUGACGGUACCAGCAGAAGAAGCCCCGGCUAACUCCGUG